Molecule: transfer RNA, 71 nt
Filed under: Rhabdopleura compacta
Lineage: Eukaryota; Metazoa; Hemichordata; Pterobranchia; Rhabdopleurida; Rhabdopleuridae
Description: transfer RNA-Asn
Source: RNAcentral
AAGGAAGGAGCUUGAAAUUAAGUAUCUUGUUGUUACCAAGAAGAUGGAGGUGUAAGGUUCUCUCUUUCUUU